AGAAGAAGAAGAAGAAGAUGAUGACGACGACAUGAAGCAUGCGAGCAUUCCCAAACCUUAACGGCGCUAAGUUUCUUGAUAGCUCUCGAAGAGCGAAAGGAUAAUAAUAAUUUUUUAAUAAAAAUAAAAAGUUCCCAUGGCAGUCUCUAGAAGUCGUCACCAUCGUAGCCAAGGUCAUCCUCGACCUUUUCCGCUGCUUCAUCAGCAACAUGGUCCUCCAGCGCAUCAAAGCCCUCUGCCAAUGCCAGUCCACCUAAAGCCCCAGCUACCGCGCCCACAGCCAAUCCAGUCCCCAUCCCACCGAACUUGCUUUUCUUCUUUUCCUCCUGAACAUAAACGGGCUGCUGACCGUAAUCGUAACUUGACUGACCGUAGGGUGCUGGUGGAGGUGGCGCGUUGUAACCACCGUACGGAUAUCCAGUGGGCGGCGCCGCUGCAUAGUAUGGAUUUGUUGGUGGUGGUGGUGGUGCUGCAGAGUAGGGACUUCCAUAUGGGUAGUCUCUCGAAGCUGAUGGUGGUGGGACACCGUAAGGUGGCUGGUAGUACGCAUCAGGCGCACGAUACCGUGGUUCUCUGAUCGAAACUUUAACAUCGACUUUCCCCUGGGGUCUACCUGAAGGACGCUUGAGCUGGAGAGUGCGCUUAGCUCGUUCGCCAACUCCGACGUCAUCGAGAACGUCGACGAGUUUUAGCCGGGCGGAGCCGAUCAGCGGCUUGGUGUCUUCCUCAGCACCGGCGUUGACGAUGUCGAUGUAGAGAGUGUGAUCCUGAAUUGGGCCAGGCGGCAAGGAGAUAACAAGGGUCUGAUCCCAUAGAGGACAUGCAUCACCUUCCUCGUCGACUCUGGUGGAGCAUUUCUUGUUUGGAUCAACCCAAACGACUACGUACGGCCUCAGUGGGCCGUGGCGCCAGUUGACGUUCUUUAGGUCCUUGGCUGACGUGAUGGUUACUUCGACCUCAUAGCGAGAACCCAUUUUGGAGGAUAAAUGUGAAGAUGAAGUAAAUAAGAAGGGCGAAAUACUCAGACUCGGUGUUUUGCCGGCGAUUUUAAGCUCUAGUGUUACCUCUUUAAAUAGGUUGCAGUCUUGCAGAAUGGUCCUUACUGGGGUUGUUUUAUCUAAAAGAAGGAGAUGAAGCAGCGUGAUACGAUUUCUUUACCAUUUUAUCCCUAGUUCCGAGACUUUUGAAUUUUGAUUUGACGAUAAGUUAAGGGCCUUUUGGACAAGAUAUGAAAAUUGAAACAGACUUUACGUGGACGGACGUUAUCACGGCCAGAGAUUGCUUAGAGACAAA
This 1293-nucleotide unclassified non-coding RNA is filed under the name Hevea brasiliensis (rubber tree). The record is from RNAcentral. Lineage: Eukaryota; Viridiplantae; Streptophyta; Magnoliopsida; Malpighiales; Euphorbiaceae.